AUUUUUAUAGCUUAUAUAUUAGAGUGUAUCAGUGAAGUUGAUAAGGAAAUAGAAUCAUUUAAAAAUA
This 67-nucleotide transfer RNA is filed under the name Osbornellus sp. EMHAU-2015-Zz052506. RNAcentral's name for it is "tRNA-Phe". Lineage: Eukaryota; Metazoa; Arthropoda; Insecta; Hemiptera; Cicadellidae. The record is from RNAcentral.